GAUGAACGCUGGCGGCGUGCCUAAUACAUGCCAGUCGAGCGAACAGACGAGGAGCUUGCUCCUCUGACGUUAGCGGCGGACGGGUGAGUAACACGUGGAUAACCUACCUAUAAGACUGGGAUAACUUCGGGAAACCGGAGCUAAUACCGGAUAAUAUAUUGAACCGCAUGGUUCAAUAGUGAAAGACGGUUUUGCUGUCACUUAUAGAUGGAUCCGCGCCGCAUUAGCUAGUUGGUAAGGUAACGGCUUACCAAGGCAACGAUGCGUAGCCGACCUGAGAGGGGGAUCGGCCACACGGGAACUGAGAAACGGUCCAGACACCUACGGGAGGCAGCAGUGGGGAAUCUUCCGCAAUGGGCGAAAGCUUGACGGAGCAACGCCGCGUGAGUAAUGAAGGUCUUCGGAUCGUAAAACUCUGUUAUUAGGGAAGAACAAAUGUGUAAGUAACUAUGCACGUCUUGACGGUACCUAAUCAGAAAGCCACGGCUAACUACUU
Molecule: ribosomal RNA, 496 nt
Filed under: uncultured bacterium
Lineage: Bacteria
Description: partial 16S ribosomal RNA
Rfam family: Bacterial small subunit ribosomal RNA
Source: RNAcentral